This 22-nucleotide ribosomal RNA is filed under the name Polyblastidium japonicum. RNAcentral's name for it is "partial 18S ribosomal RNA". The record is from RNAcentral. Lineage: Eukaryota; Fungi; Ascomycota; Lecanoromycetes; Caliciales; Physciaceae.
GGUGACCUGCGGAAGGAUCAUU